GUGCUAGCAAAUAGGAGUGCAAGGUGCAGACACUUGUGGUAUAAUCUUGUUAUGUCUGUGUCUAGAUGCAGUUUAGGUUCCUGUAUGUUGUAUGAAUGAGAAAAUCUUGAUCUAUCAGUCAUGCUUUGGACAUCAGUUACUGCUGUGUCUUCAAAGAUAAGGCAUCUACACACAGACAAGGCUUCUUCAAAGAGCUUGAAUGUCUACAACAUGCUGCUUGGACUCUGGAAUCAAGUCCUUCCUUCAAGAGAAUUUUUUGCAGGAAGUUCAGAAGUGUUUGAACAGUAUCUGAAUGCUUGCUGAGAGCUUACCUAAAGGAAAGAAACUGGCAACUGAACUCCUGGAAAAAGCUGUCUUAGAGUCUUUGGAGAAAAUCUGUUUUUGUAAUGGCAACACCUGGCCGGAAUUACUUUCCUUUGGAGAAAAUGGUGCUGUUUUUCUCUCAUUGGCAGGUAAACACUGUUCACUUGUUGAACUUUAAUAUCUUCCAAGCAAGGUGACAGAUAUUUAAAUGAUAUGAGCUUGUGAUAAGCUGCCAUUGGCUGGUGAUACCUAAAGUGGUUUCUAAGAGUCAGUUGUGUAUUAGUUUGCAGCCAAGUGACUUCUCUAUGUGUAUAUAUGUCUAUAUGAUAUUUUGUUCUGUCAGACCCGUCGCCUGUUGUGUAGCUGUGUUUGUGAGAUGGUGAAGCAAUGCUCUCUCUUUAUCACCAGUUCAUUGAGCACAAGCUCAGCCCUGCACUAACAUGGCUGCGCAGCCCCCCCAGCAGCUCACAGACAAACUGAACUCAGGCUUUUUUAGAGCUAAGCCAGACAGCACUUGCAUGUGCCUGCAAAACCCCACAUAGGAUUUAACCUUCAUUAUGUCAAGGGGGCCUUUGAAUAUUCAUUUCCUUUCAGAAAUAAUGGUUCUGAAAGUUCCCAGCACUGGCUAUGUGGUAGCACUUUGCUCUCGCUCCUCUCACCUAUGAGGAUGAAGGUCAGAAUCAAGUGGAUGAGUUGAUUGUAGCACAAUGUAAUGUCUGCUGGCCCAUUUUUACCCUUAGAAGAAGCUAGAACCCUCCAUUCACAUUUUAUAUUCAUUUAUGCCUAUUUGCUAAGUAAUUCUUUUCUUCUUCAUCUUUCUAUACCCUGACACCUUAAUCUUGCUGACAUCUUGCAAUAGUUAAUGAGAAGCAGCUCCCUGUCUUUUCACUGCUUGCUUUCUUUCUCCUAAUACCAAGGCAUAGGAUGAUAGUUUACUUUGCAAGACUUGAAACUGUUGUGUUGUACUUCUCUUUUGAAGAAUACAUAUAUAUUAACAGAGCUCAAGCCAAGAGCUAUAAUGACAGCCUUAUAAAACAUGAUUACUAGCUGAGACACAAGUACAGACACUGUCUUGAAUAUAUCACCCAGGUAUUAUUUUCAGCUCCAGACCUGAAAGCAAUUUCCAUAUUUUAUAGACAAAAACAUGACACCUCGCUCUAGUGGAAGCACAACGGAUCUAAUAUAUUUGAAAACACAGUACUUCUAAAUAACACUGUUUCAGGGGUAUCUAUAAACUCUCUGUUAUGAGGGUAAUUCAUUAAUUUCAGCUUCUUUAAUGUCUGUCAUGCAGUUAAGACAUACAAAUCCUUCUAACAAGCAAGAUCUCUUGCUUUUGGGAGACAAGGUGUUCUGAGAAAACAGACAACUCUGUUAACACUCAAGACCAAAACUCAAGCCCAAAUGUAAUUAACACACACACACACAAACAAACAAACAAACCCAACAACAUAAACAGGGAGGGAAGUGAAUUUGUUCAUGAUGUGUUUUUCAAAAAUAUGGAAAAGGAAAUCUGGUUGGACAAAUAAACCACAUGCAAAUGUUUAUGCUGUUAUUGUG
Long non-coding RNA from Coturnix japonica (Japanese quail), 1860 nucleotides. The record is from Ensembl. NCBI's taxonomy places the organism in Eukaryota, Metazoa, Chordata, Aves, Galliformes, Phasianidae.